CCUACGGGUGCCAGCAGUCGAGAAUCAUUCACAAUGGGGGAAACCCUGAUGGUGCGACGCCGCGUGGGGGAAUGAAGGUCUUCGGAUUGUAAACCCCUGUCAUGUGGGAGCAAAUUAAAAAGAUAGUACCACAAGAGGAAGAGACGGCUAACUCUGUGCCAGCAGCCGCGGUAAUACAGAGGUCUCAAGCGUUGUUCGGAAUCACUGGGCGUAAAGCGUGCGUAGGCUGUUUCGUAAGUCGUGUGUGAAAGGCGCGGGCUCAACCCGCGGACGGCACAUGAUACUGCGAGACUAGAGUAAGGGAGGGGGAACCGGAAUUCUCGGUGUAGCAGUGAAAUGCGUAGAUAUCGAGAGGAACACUCGUGGCGAAGGCGGGUUCCUGGACAUUAACUGACGCUGAGGCACGAAGGCCAGGGGAGCGAAAGGGAUUAGAUACCCGAGUAGUC
RNAcentral lists this ribosomal RNA (446 nucleotides) under uncultured bacterium. RNAcentral's name for it is "partial 16S ribosomal RNA". It matches the Rfam family "Bacterial small subunit ribosomal RNA", at positions 338 to 795 of the family's 1533-position model. The record is from RNAcentral.